GAUGAACGCUGGCGGCGUGCCUAAUACAUGCAAGUCGAGCGAACGGACGAGAAGCUUGCUUUUCUGAUGUUAGCGGCGGACGGGUGAGUAACACGUGGAUAACCUACCUAUAAGACUGGGAUAACUUCGGGAAACCGGAGCUAAUACCGGAUAAUAUUUUGAACCGCAUGGUUCAAAAGUGAAAGACGGUCUUGCUGUCACUUAUAGAUGGAUCCGCGCUGCAUUAGCUAGUUGGUAAGGUAACGGCUUACCAAGGCAACGAUGCAUAGCCGACCUGAGAGGGUGAUCGGCCACACUGGAACUGAGACACGGUCCAGACUCCUACGGGAGGCAGCAGUAGGGAAUCUUCCGCAAUGGGCGAAAGCCUGACGGAGCAACGCCGCGUGAGUGAUGAAGGUCUGCGGAUCGUAAAACUCUGUUAUUAGGGAAGAACAUAUGUGUAAGUAACUGUGCACAUCUUGACGGUACCUAAUCAGAAAGCCACGGCUAACUACGU
Molecule: ribosomal RNA, 496 nt
Filed under: uncultured bacterium
Lineage: Bacteria
Description: partial 16S ribosomal RNA
Rfam family: Bacterial small subunit ribosomal RNA
Source: RNAcentral